UUUUCAUUUCCAAAUGUUUUUUACUGGAUUUGAUCAUCAACUAAAGAACAGUGCUGCUAAGUUAAAACAGACAUUAAAAUACCAUACACUCUGCUGUGUAGUUUUUGCAUUCAUGAGUCAUAAUUCUACCAUGUUUGAUUGUUCUGUUACUGUUUUCUUUCAUUCUUUUUCCAGCAGCUACCUAUAGUUACACCUGAUGAUAGUUAUUGUUUCCACUGUUGCUUUUCUGUUUUGCUAUAUGUAAUAAAACAUAAACAAAGUAAAGAGCACAGAAAGGAUCUGCCCACUAAAAUAACAACAUGUUCCUGACAAAAGAGCAGAAAUGAAAACCUACUAUCCAGGACUGCCAAAGAUGACUGUGGAUCAGCAGUUACAUCAUACACAGAAGAUUAAUAUCUGUAUAUAUCUAUUUCUUAUUCCAGAAGACAAGAAGUAAAAAUUGGAGCCAUUAUGAAAAACACAUAAUAUAUUCUAUAAAGAGUUUUGUUAGUUCAGUAUUUUUUAAAAGGAACUUUUGCUAUCCUGAAAUUUAAAUUCUUUAUUGGAAUAUAGAACUUAUUUCACAGUGAAGAUGAAAUGUUUUCUACUAUAAUGACCUGCAGCCAAAGACAAGAACUAUUCAGGAGUGGAAUCCUCCUCUAGGACUUCAAGAAAAAGGAAGUUAAGGUCCCUCAGACAGGUAAUAUGUGGCAACCAUGAACUCCUCUGGAGUCCUAAGUAUGGAUUUGAUGACUAUGGAGAAGAAUGUCAGUGUUGAGAAGACUAGAGCUUCUUUAUUUAACAACAAACAUGAUCAUCUUUUCUUUGCAGUAUCUGCAGAGCUAUCUCUAAUACGACAGAAAUAAAGAUGCUUGUAUGUCA
Long non-coding RNA from Parus major (Great Tit), 861 nucleotides. RefSeq lists it as uncharacterized. The transcript has 2 exons. NCBI's taxonomy places the organism in Eukaryota, Metazoa, Chordata, Aves, Passeriformes, Paridae. The record is from RefSeq and is a predicted model, not a curated record.